Molecule: ribosomal RNA, 1145 nt
Filed under: human gut metagenome
Description: bacterial LSU rRNA
Rfam family: Bacterial large subunit ribosomal RNA
Source: RNAcentral
GCAGAGAAGGGGCCCAAGCAACUGUUUAGCAAAAACACAGGUCUAGGCAAAGCCGAAAGUUGAGAUAUAUGGNCUGACGCCUGCCCGGUGCUGGAAGNUUAAGGGGAGAGUUUAGCCGUAAGGCGAAGCUUUGAACUUAAGCCCCAGUAAACGGCGGCCGUAACUAUAACGGUCCUAAGGUAGCGAAAUUCCUUGUCGGGUAAGUUCCGACCCGCACGAAAGGCGUAAUGAUUUGGGCACUGUCUCAACAAUGCACCCGGUGAAAUUGAAAUACCAGUGAAGAUGCUGGUNACCUGCGCCAGGACGGAAAGACCCCAUGGAGCUUUACUCCAGCUUGAUACUGGGAUUCGAUAUUGCAUGUACAGGAUAGGUGGGAGACUUUGAACUCAUGACGCCAGUCGUGAGGGAGUCACUGUUGGGAUACCACCCUUGUAGUAUUGGAUUUCUAACCAGCAGCCGUGAUCCGGCUGGGGGACAAUGUCAGGUGGGGAGUUUGACUGGGGCGGUCGCCUCCGAAAGGGUAUCGGAGGCGCUCAAAGGUUCCCUCAGAAUGGUUGGAAACCAUUCGAAGAGUGCAAAGGCAGAAGGGAGCUUGACUGCGACACCGACGGGUGGAGCAGGUACGAAAGUAGGACUUAGUGAUCCGGUGGUAUAAAGUGGGAUUGCCAUCGCUCAACGGAUAAAAGCUACCCUGGGGAUAACAGGCUUAUCACUCCCAAGAGUUCACAUCGACGGAGUGGUUUGGCACCUCGAUGUCGGCUCAUCGCAUCCUGGGGCUGUAGCAGGUCCCAAGGGUUGGGCUGUUCGCCCAUUAAAGCGGUACGCGAGCUGGGUUCAGAACGUCGUGAGACAGUUCGGUCCCUAUCCGGCGCGGGCGGAGGAUAUUUGAGAGGAGCUGUCCUUAGUACGAGAGGACCGGGAUGGACGGACCACUGGUGUAUCUGUUGUCGACCAACGGCAUGGCAGAGUAGCCAAGUCUGGAAGGGAUAAACGCUGAAGGCAUCUAAGCGUGAAGCCCCCCUCAAGAUGAGAUAUCCCUCCUUCGGGAGUAAGACCCCUUGAAGACUACAAGGUAGAUAGGGCAGAGGUGGAAGCAUGGCAACAUGUGGAGCUGACUGUUACUAAUAGGUCGAGGGCUUAAUCUG